RNAcentral lists this transfer RNA (62 nucleotides) under Cyclommatus strigiceps vitalisi. RNAcentral describes it as "tRNA-Thr". Lineage: Eukaryota; Metazoa; Arthropoda; Insecta; Coleoptera; Lucanidae. The record is from RNAcentral.
GUUUUAAUAAUUUAAUCAAAAUAUUGGUCUUGUAAAUCAAAUAUGGGAACACCCUUAAAACU